Oryzias latipes (Japanese medaka) is the source of this 739-nucleotide long non-coding RNA. RefSeq lists it as uncharacterized. The record is from RefSeq and is a predicted model, not a curated record. Lineage: Eukaryota; Metazoa; Chordata; Actinopteri; Beloniformes; Adrianichthyidae.
UGGUCAUUCCUACUUAAGCCAAAACAACUCAGUUGAAGACCAACAUUUACAAAGUUUUACUACAUAACAGUUUUUGUGUUACGAAGGGCUUAUCUUUAAUGAGAGAUUUUUGUCUUAUUUUAUACAGUAAAUGUUCGGGCUUCAACUUCUGUGGUAAUAUAAUUAUAAAGAAAAUCAGUUUUAUGUUUACAUAUAGCUAAAAUUCUAUACUUUUUUUGCCCUUUUGAGUUUAACCUUUUAUUUAAACUCUUCUUACUCUGAUUAUGGUGCAACUGAAGACGAUGACAUCAUAAUCAGUAAAAUUUACAUAGAAUAUUUUGCCAGUAUUUUGUAGUACAUUUUAUCAUAUUAUCAUUGACUAACAACUGUGAUUUUUUUUUUGUUGCAUCUCUUCUCCUACACUGAUUUGUGCGUCACCUGCAAACUAAGUGUACAAAUAUAUCAUGACGCUGAACAUCGGUAUCAAGCCAUCUAGCCUGAAUGCUUCACAAAUAGAGGAACUUGUGAAAGAGCAUCUCAAAAAAAUUGAAAAGUCUGCAGGGUUAAUCAGAUUUACCCCGAAGACAUGAGAGGCGAGGACUUCUUUCAAAUAAAGAGACACAAAUGGCUUGUGGAAAUUUCUACUCGUCAGAAAUGUUUGACCAAAAUUGUUUUUUGUUUUGUAAUUUGUUUUGCAUCUUAGUAUAAUACAAGAAAAAGGUAAUGCUUUUUUUUUCUUUUACUUUGUAUAACUUCUUAU